GCACCGAGCGCUGUGUUCCUGCAGGGGGAGGCCAGGUGCAACCCACACCGUUAUGGGGACAGAAGCCUGGUGCGGGGGUUAACUGUGUGUGUCCACCUGGCCCGGCCACGGAGAGCCAGACGUUUGGACAAACAUUAAUCUGGGCGUGUCUUUGAGCAUGUUUCUGGAUGGGAUUAACAUUGGGAUGUGUAGACUGAAUAGAACCUUGAUGUGGGUGGGCCUUACCCAAUCAGUGGACGGCCUGACUCGCAAAAAAAGGCUGAAUGCAGGGACCUCUUCCUGACGCCCGUGUGAGCCGACACACGAGUCUCUUCCUGCACUCAGGCCCAUGCAGACAGGCUGGUCUCCGCUUCUAGACCAGCACUCACAGCCUCGGCUCCCCUGGGCCUCCAGGUUGCUGGCUGCAUCUCUCAGGAGGGCCAGCCUCUGCUGCCCCAUGAGCCCGUCCUUUGCAACAAACGUCUGCUCCGGCUUUUGCUUCUCUGGAGAACGGGGAUGGAAGUGCCGUGCCCUUGGGAUUGCUCCAGCAGCCUGCCGUCAUCGCGGGAGCCGGUGCCAAGGGGCCGCCUCCAAGGAGACCAGCCCAUACUCCCCCUCCCGGGCCCAGUCCCCGUGUCCUCCCAGGGACAAGCCACUCCACACCACCCGGCCUCCCUCCAGUGACGUCCCUGCACGCCUGCGCGUGAGCCGACGGCCUCCCCCCAGGCCUUGUCAGCCUCACUGUGGCCUCGCUCGGGAGACUGGAAGAGCCAAGCUCGCACACGCCCCGUCCUUCCGGGCAGCUGCAAGCUCACGCCACUCACCCGCCUCCUCGCGGGCCGUCCGCGGCUUGCCCUGGCUUCCGUGCUGGGGCUCGGCCCCCCUACCCCGUCCUCGACCCCCCAGCCCUCCCUUUCCACGGCGCUCUGUGGCCUCACGGGGGCAGACCCGCUCUUUGUCACCUUUCCACUAUCUUUGGGAACAUGUGUCCUUCAGGGUCAUCUUGAAAGGGAGCAAGCUUAGCUCACUUCCCCGGUUGCCAUUGGUUGGAAGUCGGUCAUGUGACUGCUCAUCGGCACAACGUACCCAGGCCAGCCUUCUGGAGCAAGAGAGGCGUGGAGCAGGCCCAAGUCCCCCGCGAGGCCGCCGAGAUCUGCUAACAGCGACAGGCUCCCUGCGUGGGAAGGAGCCCGUCCAAGACCGGCCACACUAGGUCCAAUCCCAUGAGCUUGCUGUCGUGUGCUGUCAAGGUCCCGUGGAAUUUAAUUAAUUUAAAUGUUUUUUCAAUGUCACUCUCUCCUGCAGGGCCCCUGUUCUGUAGUAGUCAGGACAGACCAGGUUGUGCCGUGGUAACAAAAACCUGAGACCUACGAUGGCCUGACCUGGGCCUUGCAGCCAGGCUGCUUGCAAGGACACCCAGCAGCGGAGGCUGGAACCGUGGGGAAGGUGCGACGCCGGUGGGACUGCGUGAGGACCAUUCAUGGUGACUCGGCAGGACAAGAAGGAGACGGGCUCGCAGGAAGCCCCGCUGGGGCGCAGGACGGCGGCAAACGUGGAGAUAGACCCAGAAAUGCGGAGCUUCGCAAGGUCAGACAGCCAGUCGCUUCCAGAGCCAGGAUUUUAAACGCUUUGUGGAGACAAAGGCCUGGAGCCACGCCCGAGCAGGGGCCCGGGAGGCAACGAUCAGAAGAUGGGCAGGGCCUGUCCCCGAGAGCCCCUGCGAUGGCCGGCAGGCAGACACAAGGAUAAAUAAGCCUGAUCAUUUCCGAUGCUUCUGUGAAGCCACUCGUGGCACCGUCUGGUGUGGGUGGGGCGGUCCUCCUCUGUCCUGAGCUAUGUCAGUGGGGACAAGAGGCCUCCAGGGUCCCCGUACAAGGGAGCGCCGGGGGACGGGGCGAUGGCUUUGGAGAGGCCACUCCUGCCCACGUGCCCCUGGCCAGGAAGAGAGGGCAGGACCAGGCCCAUCGCCUUGUCCCCUCUCCCUUGUGUCACACCCUCAUGACCACCCCAGCCUGCUGGCGUCCAACCUGCUUCAUCGCCGCUCCCAAACCACGUGGCUUCGAUGACGCGCCACAGGCUGCCUCUGUGGCUCCGGUGCAGUGGGAGGCUCGCCGUCGGUGGUCUUCCCUCUGCCUGGAAUGUCCCGCCGGCCAACAUACACGCGCGCACACCGUAUGCAGGCAACACACACCCACGUGCGGACGCGCCCACACGCGCCGCCUCAGUCGCUGGCCUUACAGCUUGGAGCGCGUCGCUGCCCAGAUUCUGGGGUCCUCAGGGUGUCCUCAGGGGCUGCACCAUGGGCUGUCUGGCUGCCAGCUGUUCGCACCAGGCUUCUGUGAAGAAUGCAGAAUGGAGCGCCCGGCGGGAAAGCGGGAGGCCAGGAAAGGCGGCACUGCCACCGGCACGCGGGCAGCCACGCGGGCAGACGCACUAAGGAAACGCAGCGACAUCUAAUCCUCCCGAGAAGCAUGAGCCCCGAGAGAAAGGACUCGGGAUGCACGUUUGCUUUAUCCUGAGGAACGGAAAUACUCGUUCUGUCCAAAAUAAGCGCUUUUGGAAAUCUUGAUUUAGAAAGCAACAGCCAACACGUUGAUUAAACAGAAUGCAGGCUGAGAGCUCGCCCCGGCUGGGCCGGGACCCCUGCCUCCACCCCGGCUCCCGCCGCAUCUUCCCAGUCUCUGGCGCUGCCAGGCCGUUGGCCCCCCGGCGGUGUCCCUCCCUCACUGGCCGCGGCCACCACACCACGCCAGGCUCAGGGCUGUUUUUGUCCGGUGGACAGAUGAGGGCCCAGCUGGGUGAACAGAGCAAGGGUCUGCCUGCGACUGAGGUCAGGGUGCCCCUCGUGAAGGGCAGGAACCCCGCUCCGGGGAAGGCUCUGAGGACCCGCCUUGCAGGGGCUGUGAAGGGCCACCCAGGCUGAGCUGAGGGGGCCUGGCAGGCAGGGAGGUGAGGAUCCCCUCUCAGAGCCCAGAGGCUCCAACACCCCGACACCGGGGUGCCCAGGGGGACCCCGACAGUGCGAAGGCUGAACCUAGAGCAGAGGUGGCAGCUGGCAGACCUCGGGGCUGUUUCCAAUCAGCCGGUAGCUGGUCUCUGGCUGACGCCCCGCCGCUCAGCCUCCCAGCUACUCCGUUGGCGUUUUGGAAUUAGGAUCCUUACGGUCUGAAAGGGACCUGGCGCUGGGUUGCUGGUGGGGGGAGAGGUGCUCCUGGCUGCCACACGAAGGCCCCUGGGGCACAGAUGCCCAGAGCUUCUGAGUAAGGCCCGCGGCAGCUACUGGAAAACUUGCACGAACCCUUUCUGGGGAGUCCAGAGGGCUGUUAUGGGAAGGGUCGGGGAAGGCCUGGGAGGCCCGAGACCGCCCGAGCCAGGGUGCUGAAGGGCGGCCGUGGGACCCGAUCAGGGACGGCGGGCAGGGGUGCAGCGAGGGCCGUGGGCUGCUCCUCCUGGGCUUGUCUCUGGAGCCCGGGAGUGGGUCAAAGCCUGCAGUGUGGCGAGCGUCCUCAGCUGACCGCAGGCCGGGGGGGGGGGGCUCUUAUUGUCACGUGGCCAAGACAAGCUGCGGCCGAGGAGAGCCGGGCCGGGCCGUCCAGGGCACUCUGCGUGCGGGUGGCGAAUGUGGGGCCUGGCGUGGGCCGUCCUCCCCCGGGCUCCUCCUUCCUGGAGCCCGGCCCCCCACGCCCGCCACGAGACCGUCUCCACGAAGCAGAGGCCUCCGCAUCACGUGGCCGCACUCGAGAGCAACAGAACGUAAAACCUCUCCUCUUAACAACCGAAGCGCCCAUGAAGAAGUCACGGUGGAAAUGACAGAGAUCACAAGCAGGCAGAGAGGCAGGCAGAGAGAGAGGAAGAAGCAGGCUCCCUGCUGAGCAGAGAGCCCGAUGCGGGGCUCGAUCCCAGGACCCUGGGGCAUGACCUGAACCGAAGGCAGAGACUUAACCCACCGAGCCACCCAGGCACCUCCAUUCGUGACCUUUGGAAGGGCCCCAGGCCCGGCAGCCAAGCCCCCUGCACCAGGACCACCUGCCCUGCACGCACCCCUGUCCGACCACCAGACACUGGAGCUACUUUCUCCGCAACCGGCUCCGCCAGAGGGGGUGAGGGCUCGGCGUCAGGUCAGGAACUCCACGCUGGGUCUGAAGACCUCGCUACUGCUUCUGGCUCCCUGAGAGCCCCACUCUGGCCCUGGUCUCAUGGGCAGGUGCCUCUGGGCACAGGAGAGUGGCCGUGCCCGCGGCCCCGCAGCGCCCCUCCCCCAGACCCACCAGCAACACACCCUGCGUGGGGGGGACUGUCAGUGAGGCCCCACUGGGCUGCGUGUGAGCACACGUGUACGCGUGUACAACCCUGCUUCCGUUGCCCGAUCCUUCUCUGCCACAUCAGUCCUCUGGGGGGAGGGCUCUCGGACGCGGGGGGCUGUGGAGGGAGCCCCUUGAGUGAAGAAAUGAUGGUCCGCCGCCCAGAUCCGGUAGUGUCUCCCGCUCAGGAGCGCCCUCCAGAAGCCUUCACCGCCGGCCCGCACAGCCUGGCGCAGAGCUCGUGUCCUUCCUGCCGGGACCCGUCCGUAGCCUCGGGACCUCGGCGGUAGGUCAGUGUCACUGGCCAGCUGAGCUCGGGGCUUCCCAGCAGGCCCGAGGCACCCAGCUCUCUUGGAGGUAGACGGAACCUCUCUUCUUGGCCUCUGGUGCCUCCAUGCGCUUUCAAGGAAAGUAUCUGGGCUGUGCCCACCUCUACACUGCUGCCUCCACAACCACUCCCCUUCCAGGGAGCCCUCGGGGAUAUCUGCAUGCCAGUGUGUCACCUUCCAGACCUGGAAGGAAGGAAUCCUUGCGAUGGGCAUCGACGUGUCCUCCUGGAGCGCACUGCUGCAAGUCCAUGGUCACUCCCACAGUGCCGUGUCUCCGGGAGGGGCCCACAGGCUCUUAAACCCUUAAACCACAGCCAAGGGGCUGUGGCCAGAGAAGGCACCUGCUUCUACCCUGUGUGGCCCCAAGGACGCUGCUGGAGGGGCAGGGCUACCUGCUGUUCGCCAGCACCUGGUGGGGGACACCGCCAGGCAGACGUCCGGCAUCAGAACACAGUCCAGGAGAUAAGGCCUGUCACGUGCUCCUGCUCCCAUAACCCAACCCGCCUGUGCAUGUGGCCUUCUCCAGGUCCAGCGGGGGCCGGGUCAGGCUCAGUCGUGGGUUUUGCUGCCGCAGUGCACGUGGCUUCUGUGUUGCGGAGUCCAUGGGACUUCUCUUCUGCACCCCAGCGAGGGUGGGGCCAGGAGCCUGCCCUCCGAGGACCUGUAUCUGGAUCAGGCAUCUGACCAUCACCCCACGAGGUCCCUGGUCGCUUCCCGUCAGUGAUCUUUGUUCCUGCGGCUCCUCCCUCCGCUGGCCGCCCCUGCAGGGCGCCAGCAGGGGGGUCCGUCCCGGUGGCCCACCCGGCCUUGAUGGUGCCGCACUAGGGCCUUUGUCCUGUCCCACACAUGUCUGAUUUCUCAGUAAUUGUCUGGAGAGGGGCGCCUGCGUGGCUCCAUCGUUAAGUGUCUGACUUCGGCUCAGGUCACCAUCCCGGAGUCCCGGGAUCGAACCCCGCAUUGGGCUCCCUACUCAGUGGGGAGCCUGCUUCUCCCUCUGCCACUCCUCCUGCUGUGGUCCCUCUCUCGAUCUCUAUCAAAUAAAUAAAAUGACCGCCUGGAGAUUCCCA
Molecule: long non-coding RNA, 5676 nt
Organism: Mustela lutreola (European mink)
Lineage: Eukaryota; Metazoa; Chordata; Mammalia; Carnivora; Mustelidae
Exons: 2
Source: RefSeq, a predicted model, not a curated record